GCCUCGUCCUGCAGCCGAGUCCCCCACGAGCUACCUCGCCUCCGCCAAGCAGUCGCCCAGCCAACAAACAGGAGCUCGUUGCUAUUGCAGCCAAAGCAAGCGUGGCGGGACUCUGUAUCGGCGAGGACUGCGACAGCAGUAAAAACAGCACACUGAGCCCUUUGGAGACUGGAAUGCCUUUCAUUAUUCUUGAGAGACCAAUUAAGGACUAGUGUUGACAUAUUCCAAAAGGGCUCCUGUCUGGGCCUUGUACAAAGUACAAAAGAACAACAUCAUGGUUACAAACCAGCGACUCAAGGUUGCAGAGGGUAUGCAACAAAAAUGAGAAAAUGGAGAGGGAUUUUCAGGGAUCCACAAAGCAUUUAGAGGAGCCUUCCUUCUUUAUGCCACGCUGUGACUUGAACAUUUUAUCUUGCUCCUUGAAGAAAUCCAACUCCGCAAGGAGCAGCUAGCGUUAGAAACUACCCAAAACAAACACAAUAGCUGAGCGGGCCAAGGACUAAAAGCACGUGCCGAGUUGAAUGAGAGCAGCAAUUUUGGUAUGAUUUGCAGCUCACACCUGCAUGCCUGUUCUAACAAGCUUUUUAAAUCAUCAGUGUAGUGUAAAACACUUAAAAUGAACCUAAAUUAGAAAGUCAAAACUUGCUAAUUCACAUUAAUUAAUAGGAGACUCAUUGUGAAUUAGCAGAGUGAUUUAAAAAAGCAAAGGUACUGUGCUAGGAUGAAUGUAUUCUGUUCAUUUAGGGCCUGAUUCUGUCUAUUCUUACUCCUGAGGAUUGGUAUUUUAUUCUUUAAAUUGCCUGACUCACAGUGACUACUGCUCAAGGAAGGAUCUGACGUGUUGGUGUAGAAGAUAACAACCACUCCUGAGCAUAUUUGAUGAUGGAACAGUGAGCCUUAAGGUUGACAAAGUAAAGGAGUGUUUGAGCUGUCACCACCCAACCCAUCAAGGAAAGACAUCAUCAACAAUAACCAAUGCAGACUAGUGUAUCUAAAUGGAGCAGAAAAUUAAUUAUGCGCAAUUUUUUUCAGACUAAACAAAAAUAACCCAUGAAAAAGGAAAAAAAAUUUUGCUUAAAUGUAAUAACAUUAAAUAACAACAC
Alligator sinensis (Chinese alligator) is the source of this 1103-nucleotide long non-coding RNA. RefSeq lists it as uncharacterized. The transcript is spliced from 3 exons. The record is from RefSeq and is a predicted model, not a curated record. Lineage: Eukaryota; Metazoa; Chordata; Crocodylia; Alligatoridae.